GUCUACGGCCAUGCUACCCUGAACAAGCCCGAUCCCGUCUGAUUUCAGAAGCUAAGCAGGGUCGGGCCUGGUUAGUACUUGGAUAGGAGACCACCUAGGAAGACCAGGUGCUGUAGGCA
RNAcentral lists this ribosomal RNA (119 nucleotides) under Pteropus alecto (black flying fox). The record is from RNAcentral. Lineage: Eukaryota; Metazoa; Chordata; Mammalia; Chiroptera; Pteropodidae.